Long non-coding RNA from Xenopus tropicalis (tropical clawed frog), 1697 nucleotides. RefSeq lists it as uncharacterized. Lineage: Eukaryota; Metazoa; Chordata; Amphibia; Anura; Pipidae. The record is from RefSeq and is a predicted model, not a curated record. The transcript has 2 exons.
CACAGCUGUUCCCAAUAUACUGCCUCUAAACAUACUCAUAGCCAGUAGGGUGCUGUGUACAGGACCAUGUUAUAUUCAUGAAUUAGUAAAUGUUUGAUUUGCUACUGUUCUUCUGGUGAUCAUUUAUUCUACAGCCAUUUGUGGGCUAUUGUAGCAAAAGGAAGAAUGUGUCAGAUGUGGACCUGAAUAAAAGUGAUGCAGAGAAGCAACAUUAAUUCAUAUUUUGUGGAUAUCAUAUGAAGAAGAAGCCCUGAUUUACAUUUUAUGGAUAUCACAUGGAGAAGGAUCACUUAUUCACCUAUUGUAAAUAUCAUAAGAAGAAGAAGCACUAGUUCACAUUUUGUGGAUAUAUCAAAUGGAGAAGGAACAUUGCCAUUCUGUGGAUAUAUAGAAGAGGAUCCAUUUUGAAUACAGAAAAUGAACUUUGAUUCACUCUUGUGUAUACCUUUUGUGGAAAAGGAGUACAUCAAUGAUGUCUACCAGGAGAACUUAAAAAUUCCAGUGUUGGGAACUUAUUAGAGCAAUGCGAUGAACAUUUGGCCCUCCUUGGUCCUUCACAGGUGCUCAGUGAAUAAUGAGAAUUUUACAGGAGAGACAGACCAGAUCACUGGAUAAAAGACAUUUGGUGGGACAAAUCUGUGUUCUUAUGGAGAAAGAAGAUUGAUAUUUAUUUUGCAUAAACCAUACAAAGAAAGUAAAUGAUACUAUUCUGGCCUUUCUUUGGAGGUAAGUUCCUGGUUUAGCAAGUUUAAAAUAAUUAUCUGAUUAGUAAGAAAGACAAGAAAAUAUUCAAAAUGAUUUAAGAUGUUUAUUACCUCAUUUUUUUUUUUCUUUGGAUUUUAUUACAAUGCAGUUAAGGUAGGCAAAAAAUGGGAAAAAGUACAGUAACCAAUACUCUGCAGUAGUGCAGGAAACUCUCGGAAUAAUCUUCCUUUCUAAUAUCCAAACACGUCUAAUCCUAUAAAAAAAGAGCAGAAAAAAAAGAAAUGUUUAAGAAGAGACUGCUGCAGCUGCAGUUCAUUUGUGAAUGUUUUCUGAAACCACUGAAAAAUAUUUUCAAGUAAACAAGGCUCUGAAUUCUUUAGGCAAUGGAAAAGAAUGAAAAUAAUGGUCCUACAUCAUGUUCAAAAUCAAAGGGAAGAAAACUCAUAAAGAGGAUUAAGUAUCAGUGCUGUGGUUAAAAAAAGUAAUGUUAAUCGGAAGCCACGAGGAUGGCUGUAAUACCUGUUGCAUUUUCAUGGCAUUUACUGUUAAGAAAACAAACUUUCAUCAGGAAUACAAAGAAUGAUAUAACAGCAUUGUGCAGGAGGGCCUGAAAUCAUUUUAGACAUUAAAAAACAAGUAAUGUGGAACACAAAAAGUCAUGAUUACUUUUUGAUAAGAUAUGUUGCCAGUGCAUUUAAUUGAAAAACCUGAAAACGCCUUGUGUGAGUGUUUAACCCUUUUCUGACUCACCAGCCUCCCCUACUCCUGUCCUAUUGAUUUUCACUUUCUAUUUUACUGCUUCUGAAAUAAGCUGGAGUAAAUUUGUUUCUGUUAAUAAACUAAUUAGGCUUAGUAACCUUGACAAGAUAUCGGACCCACAAGGGCACCCUUUUGUAAAAAAUUGUAAUUAUAGAAGGAAUUUGCAAUGCUGUUUGCAAUUAUAACCAUCUAUAGUAUGAACUGGUUUGUGUUUCCCCUUUAACAAGACAAAA